This 400-nucleotide small RNA is filed under the name uncultured organism. RNAcentral describes it as "bacterial LSU rRNA". The record is from RNAcentral.
CUUUUAUUAAGGUAGCCGUAGGGGAACCUGCGGCUGGAUCACCUCCUUUCUAAGGAGCUGUGGCUUUUCCCAAAGCCAUGAUUCCUAGGUCAAUCCUCAUGAGUCUCCCUCAUGAGGCCUUUAUCUCCCCUAGCUAAACUCCCCUAACCCUCACGCUACUAUUUAGUUUUGAAGGACCACGGAUCAGCGAAGGUUUGGCGCUUUUCAGUCGUAUAAAAAGACGUUCAAAAGCUUUGAUGAUCUCUUGGACUUCACCGCAAAUCGAAUUUUUGAUUUGCGUUUUGUUCUUUGACAACUGAAUACCGGAAAGAGAGUGCCAGAAAGGAAAGCGCGCUUGGUAGCGACGGUGAAUGUGGUCAAGCUACUAAGGGCAUACGGUGGAUACCUAGGCACACAGAGA